Molecule: long non-coding RNA, 1152 nt
Organism: Xenopus tropicalis (tropical clawed frog)
Lineage: Eukaryota; Metazoa; Chordata; Amphibia; Anura; Pipidae
Exons: 2
Source: RefSeq, a predicted model, not a curated record
UAUGUCCUACAAUCCUUAAGAUACACAAAGCUGCACAAUGAAACAGACUUCGACUACACACAAUGUGAAACAGAGGAUUCUGGGUUGAACACGUGGAUCAUAAAGCUUCUGAGGCAGAAUGCCCUGUACAUCCAACAUUUAUGGGAAGCAAUUCCAGAUAAAAGUUUCAGAGACAGAUGCUGAAGAAUUUACACAGAGAUCUUGUUAUGCAAUUUAGCCAAAGAAACCAUUUUUUUACUGUUUUUAUGUCAUCUUCCAAACUGUGGCAUGACGUGUACAAAAAUCCUUCACUUUAAAGUAUUAUCUAUCUAUAUCAAGCUUAUUAGAGAGGUGACACAUGAAAUGUUUUCUGUUUGCUCCUGUGGUAUACAAGUGUUUUACAAUUAAAAAUUUGGGAAGUACCAUUCAGCUCUCUUUCCAGUGGGUGUCAGCUGAUUUUUUUAAAUGCUGUCAGCCAAGCUCUUCUUAAAUUUUAAAAUUCCCCCUUAUAUAUCUACAUCAAGUUGGGUCAGAAAGUCACAUCAGUCACAUAUAUUGAGCCUUAAAAGCUUCUCUUAAAGGCAAAUCCUGGCUUAAUAUUCACUGCAAAUUCUUGACCACUAACUCAAUAUCCUGGGGCACUGUUGUGUUCAGACAGCAAAUAAUAUGUUAUUAUGGCCCUAAGGCAUGGCUAUCUUGAUAAUUAACUUCCAUUGUUUUUCUGCUUGCUAAGAAUCCACUGACAUUCUUCCAUACUAGCAUUGUCUUAAGAAACAUUACUGCUAGCAGACAUUGAUAUAUUUUUUUUUGUUAUUCAAACCCACGCUAUAUAUAUUUGUUCUACAGUUUAUCUUUCAAAGCUAUUUGAUAUAAAAAAGGUCUAAAAAAAAAAAAAAGCACACACAGACCUCUGGUUGGAGGAGAACAACCAUGUGUUUGUCAGAUGGACACUGUCCCCUAUAUUAUAUAGCUUAUUAUAUCUGGCAGCUCUAAUGUUGAAAAUCAGGCACCAGUCUGGGAUUGGUUCACUAAUAUAUUUUGCUCAGAGAUGGUAUGCUCAAGCAUGAACAAGCUAGGCAAGCUGCAGAAAAAUGAAAAGAACAAAACUGAGUUUCUCUUUCUCUGUGCACCUACUUGCAUUUGAUUUUUAUUAAAGAGUCUUAUGAUCAUAAA